CCUACGGGCGGCAGCAGUGGGGAAUAUUGGACAAUGGGCGAAAGCCUGAUCCAGCCAUGCCGCGUGUGUGAAGAAGGCCUUCGGGUUGUAAAGCACUUUCAGUGGGGAAGAAAGCCUUGGGGCUAAUAUCCUCGAGGAAGGACAUCACCCACAGAAGAAGCACCGGCUAACUCCGUGCCAGCAGCCGCGGUAAUACGGAGGGUGCGAGCGUUAAUCGGAAUUACUGGGCGUAAAGCGCGCGUAGGCGGUCUGAUAAGCCGGUUGUGAAAGCCCCGGGCUCAACCUGGGAACGGCAUCCGGAACUGUCAGGCUAGAGUGCAGGAGAGGAAGGUAGAAUUCCCGGUGUAGCGGUGAAAUGCGUAGAGAUCGGGAGGAAUACCGGUGGCGAAGGCGGCCUUCUGGACUGACACUGACGCUGAGGUGCGAAAGCGUGGGUAGCAAACAGGAUUAGAUACCCGUGUAGUC
This 465-nucleotide ribosomal RNA is filed under the name Vreelandella stevensii. Its description in RNAcentral is "partial 16S ribosomal RNA". It matches the Rfam family "Bacterial small subunit ribosomal RNA", at positions 338 to 795 of the family's 1533-position model. Lineage: Bacteria; Pseudomonadati; Pseudomonadota; Gammaproteobacteria; Oceanospirillales; Halomonadaceae. The record is from RNAcentral.